AUUGAACGCUGGCGGCAGGCCUAACACAUGCAAGUCGAACGGUAACAGGAAGACGCUUGCUUCUUUGCUGUCGCGUGUCGGACGGGUGAGUAAUGUCUGGGAAACUGCCUGAUUGCGUGGGAUAACUACUGGAAACGGUAGCUAAUACCGCAUAACGUCGCAAGACCAAAGAGGGGGACUUUCGGGCCUCUUGCCAUCUGAUGUGCCCAGAUGGGGUUCGCUAGCAGGUGGGGUAACGGCGCCCCUAGGCGACGAUCCCUAGCUGGUCUGAGAGGAGGACCAGCCACACUGGAACUGAGACACGGUCCAGACUCCUACGGGAGGCAGCAGUGGGGAAUAUUGCACAAUGGGCGCAAGCCUGAUGCAGCCAUGCCGCGUGUAUGAAGAAGGCCUUCGGGUUGUAAAGUACUUUCAGUGGGGAAGAAGGGAGUAAAGUUAAUACCUUGGCGCAUUGACGUUACCCGCAGAAGAAGCACCGGCUAACUUCGUG
Molecule: ribosomal RNA, 490 nt
Filed under: uncultured bacterium
Lineage: Bacteria
Description: partial 16S ribosomal RNA
Rfam family: Bacterial small subunit ribosomal RNA
Source: RNAcentral